This 492-nucleotide ribosomal RNA is filed under the name uncultured bacterium. RNAcentral's name for it is "partial 16S ribosomal RNA". It matches the Rfam family "Bacterial small subunit ribosomal RNA", at positions 29 to 507 of the family's 1533-position model. The record is from RNAcentral.
AGUGAACGCUGGCGGUAGGCCUAACACAUGCAAGUCGAACGGCAGCACAGUAAGAGCUUGCUCUUACGGGUGGCGAGUGGCGGACGGGUGAGGAAUACAUCGGAAUCUACUUUUUCGUGGGGGAUAACGUAGGGAAACUUACGCUAAUACCGCAUACGACCUACGGGUGAAAGCAGGGGAUCUUCGGACCUUGCGCGAUUGAAUGAGCCGAUGUCGGAUUAGCUAGUUGGCGGGGUAAAGGCCCACCAAGGCGACGAUCCGUAGCUGGUCUGAGAGGAUGAUCAGCCACACUGGAACUGAGACACGGUCCAGGCUCCUACGGGAGGCAGCAGUGGGGAAUAUUGGACAAUGGGCGCAAGCCUGAUCCAGCCAUACCGCGUGGGUGAAGAAGGCCUUCGGGUUGUAAAGCCCUUUUGUUGGGAAAGAAAAGCAGCAGGUUAAUACCCCGCUGUUCUGACGGUACCCAAAGAAUAAGUACCGGCUAACUUCGUG